UGGGGUGACUGCGUACCUUUUGUAUAAUGGGUCAGCGACUUAUAUUCUGUAGCAAGGUUAACCGAAUAGGGGAGCCGGAGGGAAACCGAGUCUUAAUUGGGCGUUAAGUUGCAGGGUAUAGACCCGAAACCCGGUGAUCUAGCCAUGGGCAGGUUGAAGGUUGGGUAACACUAACUGGAGGACCGAACCGACUAAUGUUGAAAAAUUAGCGGAUGACCUGUGGCUGGGGGUGAAAGGCCAAUCAAACCGGGAGAUAGCUGGUUCUCCCCGAAAGCUAUUUAGGUAGCGCCUCGUGAACUCAUCUCCGGGGGUAGAGCACUGUUUCGGCUAGGGGGCCAUCCCGGCUUACCAACCCGAUGCAAACUGCGAAUACCGGAGAAUGUUAUCACGGGAGACACACGGCGGGUGCUAACGUCCGUCGUGAAGAGGGAAACAACCCAGACCGCCAGCUAAGGUCCCAAAGUCAUGGUUAAGUGGGAAACGAUGUGGGAAGGCCCAGACAGCCAGGAUGUUGGCUUAGAAGCAGCCAUCAUUUAAAGAAAGCGUAAUAGCUCACUGGUCGAGUCGGCCUGCGCGGAAGAUGUAACGGGGCUAAACCAUGCACCGAAGCUGCGGCAGCGAACGUAUCACCCAAGACAACUUUACGGAGUUGACGAUUGACGGAGCGAAGCGACGUCAAAGCGUUCAUUAAAGUCGAGUUGGCUUAGGGAUACGUUCGUUGGGUAGGGGAGCGUUCUGUAAGCCUGUGAAGGUGGCCUGUGAGGGUUGCUGGAGGUAUCAGAAGUGCGAAUGCUGACAUAAGUAACGAUAAAGCGGGUGAAAAGCCCGCUCGCCGGAAGACCAAGGGUUCCUGUCCAACGUUAAUCGGGGCAGGGUGAGUCGACCCCUAAGGCGAGGCCGAAAGGCGUAGUCGAUGGGAAACGGGUUAAUAUUCCCGUACUUGGUGUUACUGCGAAGGGGGGACGGAGAAGGCUAUGUUGGCCGGGCGACGGUUGUCCCGGUUUAAGCGUGUAGGCUGGUUUUCCAGGCAAAUCCGGAAAAUCAAGGCUGAGGCGUGACGACGAGGCACUACGGUGCUGAAGCAACAAAUGCCCUGCUUCCAGGAAAAGCCUCUAAGCAUCAGGUAACAUCAAAUCGUACCCCAAACCGACACAGGUGGUCAGGUAGAGAAUACCAAGGCGCUUGAGAGAACUCGGGUGAAGGAACUAGGCAAAAUGGUGCCGUAACUUCGGGAGAAGGCACGCUGACA
RNAcentral lists this ribosomal RNA (1249 nucleotides) under Salmonella enterica. RNAcentral describes it as "partial 23S ribosomal RNA". It matches the Rfam family "Bacterial large subunit ribosomal RNA", at positions 589 to 1756 of the family's 2925-position model. The record is from RNAcentral. Lineage: Bacteria; Pseudomonadati; Pseudomonadota; Gammaproteobacteria; Enterobacterales; Enterobacteriaceae.